GACGAACGCUGGCGGCGUGCUUAACACAUGCAAGUCGAACGGUAAGGCCCUUCGGGGUACACGAGUGGCGAACGGGUGAGUAACACGUGGGUGAUCUGCCCUGCACUUCGGGAUAGGCCUGGGAAACUGGGUCUAAUACCGGAUAGGACCACUGCCUGCAUGGGGGGUGGUGGAAAGCUUUUGCGGUGUGGGAUGGGCCCGCGGCCUAUCAGCUUGUUGGUGGGGUGAUGGCCUACCAAGGCGACGACGGGUAGCCGGCCUGAGAGGGUGACCGGCCACACUGGGACUGAGAUACGGCCCAGACUCCUACGGGAGGCAGCAGUGGGGAAUAUUGCACAAUGGGCGCAAGCCUGAUGCAGCGACGCCGCGUGAGGGAUGACGGCCUUCGGGUUGUAAACCUCUUUCAGCACCGACGAAGCGCAAGUGACGGUAGGUGCAGAAGAAGGACCAGCCAACUACGUGCCAGCCGCCGCGGUAA
RNAcentral lists this ribosomal RNA (478 nucleotides) under uncultured bacterium. RNAcentral's name for it is "partial 16S ribosomal RNA". It matches the Rfam family "Bacterial small subunit ribosomal RNA", at positions 28 to 523 of the family's 1533-position model. The record is from RNAcentral.